RNAcentral lists this transfer RNA (61 nucleotides) under Vespa simillima xanthoptera (Japanese yellow hornet). RNAcentral's name for it is "tRNA-Val". RNAcentral also lists the same sequence under 1 other name. Lineage: Eukaryota; Metazoa; Arthropoda; Insecta; Hymenoptera; Vespidae. The record is from RNAcentral.
AAGAUUUUAGUUUAUGUAAAAAUAAUUUAUUUACAAUAAAUAGAAUAAUUAAAAAUUCUAA